This 219-nucleotide unclassified non-coding RNA is filed under the name rhizosphere metagenome. Its description in RNAcentral is "partial ribosomal RNA internal transcribed spacer region". The record is from RNAcentral.
GUAGGUGAACCUGCGGAAGGAUCAUUAUUGAAAUAAACCUGAUGGGUUGUUGCUGGUUCUCUAGGGAGCAUGUGCACACCUUGUCAUCUUUAUAUCUCCACCUGUGCACUUUUUGUAGACCUUUCAGGUCUAUGUUGCUUCAUUUACCCCAAUGUAUGUUAAUAGAAUGUUGUGCCUAUAUAAUAUAUACAACUUUCAGCAACGGAUCUCUUGGCUCUC